GAAAUGCGAUAAGUAAUGUGAAUUGCAGAAUUCAGUGAAUCAUCGAAUCUUUGAACGCACAUUGCGCCCGCCAGUAUUCUGGCGGGCAUGCCUGUCCGAGCGUCAUUUCAACCCUCGAACCCCUCCGGGGGGUCGGCGUUGGGGAUCGGGAACCCCUAAGACGGGAUCCCGGCCCCGAAAUACAGUGGCGGUCUCGCCGCAGCCUCUCCUGCGCAGUAGUUUGCACAACUCGCACCGGGAGCGCGGCGCGUCCACGUCCGUAAAACACCCAACUUCUGAAAUGUUGACCUCGGAUCAGGUAGGAAUACCCGCUGAACUUAA
This 321-nucleotide unclassified non-coding RNA is filed under the name fungal sp. RNAcentral describes it as "partial contains 5.8S ribosomal RNA, internal transcribed spacer 2, and large subunit ribosomal RNA". The stretch from base 1 to 105 matches the Rfam family "5.8S ribosomal RNA", at positions 50 to 154 of the family's 154-position model. RNAcentral also lists the same sequence under 3 other names. The record is from RNAcentral. Lineage: Eukaryota; Fungi.